GACUUCCCCGCGGACGUGCUGACGAACAUCCUGACGCGCUUCCCGCCCAACACCCGGCGCACGCUCCGCCUCGUCUGCCGGCACUGGGCCGACGUCAUCGCAACACGCACGGCCACCAACCUGCGUAUGCGCGCCAAGAUACUCGUCGUCACCCUGGGUUCCGCGUACGUCGUCGACAACCCGUCGGCACCAGGGAAGCCCAGAGAGCUGUGGACUGGCGCCGCCACGGCACGCCGCUACAAGGCCAUGAGCGUGGUCGGCACCUGCAACGGCCUCGUCUGCCUGUGCGACGACCAGGUUCCCGGCGGCGCCAUCACUGUGGCCAACCCCGUCACCGGCGAGGCCCUGAGCGUCCCGCGGCUGCCAACGCCUCAGCCCGCUGAUCCAAGCAUCAGCUGGCACGAGGCCUACAGCUUCGCAUACCUCCCGGCCACGGGGACCUACAAGGUCGUGCACGUCGGGCUACACGCAUUUGAUGCGGUGCACGUGUUCACCCUGGGGAAGCUGAGGUGGCGGGCUGUUCCGGUUGGCCACCCACCGAGAUUCAGACGCGACGGCCUUGGCCACAAAGUCGUCACCGUCGACGGUGCGGCGUACUGGGCCACGUCGGAGGGCGCCUACAAGGUCAUGUCGUUCGACGUCGAGCGCGAACGCGUCACGCCCAUUCCGUCGCUACUGCCGCUGCUGUCCUUCUCCGAAGACAAGGGCAGCUGGCACCUAGCCGAGGUGCGCGGGAGGCUGGCCGUCGUCUUCAACUACAUCUCGUUGGCGACGGAUAUGACGGAGGUCUGGGUCAUGGAGGGCAAACCGACUACGAGGCAGAUCAGGUGGAGCCGCUGGUACGUCGUUCGGAUAAGCAUGUCGUAUCACUGGCUGCGGGAACCGAGGGCGAAGCCGCGGCGUCUCACGUGGCCGCUCUUUGUCCACGGCGAGCACAUCCUGACAUGGGAGUGGUCGCAGUUUGGACGAGCUUUCGUCUUGUACAGGCACACACCGGUCCAAGACACGAGGAUGGCGAAGCAUGGCGUGGCGGAUAUCAGUGAGAAGAACAGGGGUGCUGUGGUCGCCACCAUUAGUAGGCUCUCGUACCACGACGACCGUAGGACAUUCGCUUAUGUCGAGACUCAGGAACCGUUGAGUGUCUACAUGUCG
RNAcentral lists this ribosomal RNA (1152 nucleotides) under Triticum aestivum (bread wheat). RNAcentral's name for it is "partial small subunit ribosomal RNA". Lineage: Eukaryota; Viridiplantae; Streptophyta; Magnoliopsida; Poales; Poaceae. The record is from RNAcentral.